CGUGCCUAAUACAUGCAAGUCGAACGGUCUUUCUAUGGAAGCUUGCUUCCACUGAGAAGAUAGUGGCGAACGGGUGAGUAACACGUGGGUAACCUGCCCAUAAGAGGGGGGAUAACAUCCGGAAACGGGUGCUAAUACCGCAUAGUUUUCUUGAUCGCAUGAUCGGGAAAGGAAAGACGGCCUUUGUGCUGUCGCUUAUGGAUGGACCCGCGGCGUAUUAGUUAGUUGGUGAGGUAACGGCUCACCAAGACGAUGAUACGUAGCCGACCUGAGAGGGUGAUCGGCCACAUUGGGACUGAGACACGGCCCAAACUCCUACGGGAGGCAGCAGUAGGGAAUCUUCCGCAAUGGACGAAAGUCUGACGGAGCAACGCCGCGUGAGUGAAAGAAGGUUUUCGGAUCGUAAAACUCUGUUGUCAGAGAAGAACAAGUUGGAGAGUAACUGCUCCAGCCUUGACGGUAUCUGACCAGAAAGCCACGGCUAACUACGUGCCAGCCGCGGC
RNAcentral lists this ribosomal RNA (503 nucleotides) under uncultured bacterium. RNAcentral's name for it is "bacterial SSU rRNA". It matches the Rfam family "Bacterial small subunit ribosomal RNA", at positions 43 to 518 of the family's 1533-position model. The record is from RNAcentral.